ACCCUUUUCGUAAUCGAGUAGUAGAGUGUGCGAAAAUGGUGGAAAGUUCUCUAUGAGUAGUUUAUUAUUAUAUAUUAAAAUAUUUAUACAUAUAUGCUUGCUUAUACAUUAAUUAUUUAAAAAUUAAUUAGAUUUACGUUAGACGUGUAAAAUAUUCUUUCCGUGGAUGAUAAUAACUAAAUUAUUAGCUCGAGAUAUCUCUUCGUUUAUUGCAUGUGCUAUAAUUCCUUUAUGGAUAAAUGCAGAGAAGUAUUGAAGAUGCCAUGGAUAAAAGCUGUACAAGAAAUUUCAAAUUAUUUUCAAAAGGUUAUAUUUAAAAAAAAAAAUGAAAUAUUUACCAAUACAGUGAUAGUUGUGUAGCAUAUGACUCUGUAUAUUGUGCCCAUGUAAUAUAUUUCAAGUUUCAAUGGUGUUAAGCAUCCAGGACGAUGGGUAUUCCAUGGCGUUGGAUCUGAAAGUAUUGGUGUCAAUGAUGCCUUGCCUAAAUGAAGGUGGUUGAGGUGAAACGUAUCGAUGUACGAUUGAUUUUUGUUGUAAAUUUGGACUGAUUUCACUUGAAGAAGAUGCAAUCGUAGUAUACGUCUGCUCGGAGUGAAAAUAAUUUUAUGAUGAAUUGAUGGACAAAAUCAAUCAAUUAGUAUUAUGAUAUAUAUACUUGAUGUGUCGAUAACCAAUGGAUAGGAGUUUUGAUGUAUCGUUGAUUAUUCCAGCAUCCCUCGGUUUCACUGGAAAGACUAGAAAGUAAAUCGCGUAACACCUUGUCAAAGCAUCAGAAGCUAUAUCCUCAGGUGACAAAAUUUGAUCUUGUUUUUUUAACAAUUGAUUCAUAAUCACAGAUGUACUCAUAGAACUUUUAAAAUCAUUUCUCUCGUCCUUUUUAUCACAAAUUCUUGAAUUAGAGGUUGAAAAAUAAUCUACCAUUUUGUGAAUUAUGGACAUACACAUGUAAAUGUCAUGGAUGACAAUUGACAAUUGAUAAUCACUUGAAAUUGCUUUUUAAUAUUUUAACAACUAAUAAAUAACUCAUAAAUAUCAAUAGUUAAUUAUUUGAUCGAUGAAAGUACCAUAAAGUAUGAACUAGAAGUUCGCAGAAUCUUAAAGAAUAUUUUAAGAUCAGUUAAAAAGAUUAAAUGAAUAUAUACAUUUGUUAUUUUAAAUUUAACUUACAAUUGAAAAACCAUCUAGACAGUAGGUAAAUAUUUUUCCAGCGGUUAACCGAGAAGGUUCAAGACUUCUUUUCAUUAUCAAUAUCAGUAAUUUACGUACUUCAAUAGGUGCCUCGUACCAGAGACCACUGUAGCUAUAAAUACAAGAAAUAAUUUAUUAAUUUA
Long non-coding RNA from Polistes canadensis, 1331 nucleotides. RefSeq lists it as uncharacterized. The transcript is spliced from 4 exons. NCBI's taxonomy places the organism in Eukaryota, Metazoa, Arthropoda, Insecta, Hymenoptera, Vespidae. The record is from RefSeq and is a predicted model, not a curated record.